GGGCCGGUGGUCUAGCCUGGUUAAGAUACCGCCUUGACAUGGCGGGGGUCGUUGGUUCGAAUCCGACCCGGCCCA
This is a transfer RNA of 75 nucleotides. It matches the Rfam family "tRNA". From Rfam's summary of the family: Transfer RNA (tRNA) molecules are approximately 80 nucleotides in length. Their secondary structure includes four short double-helical elements and three loops (D, anti-codon, and T loops). The record is from Rfam.